CUACGGGUCGCAGCAGUGAGGAAUAUUGCACAAUGGGGGGAACCCUGAUGCAGCAACGCCGCGUGGAGGAUGACGCAUUUCGGUGUGUAAACUCCUUUUAUAUGUCAAGAAAAUGACGGUAGCAUAUGGAUAAGCACCGGCUAACUCCGUGCCAGCAGCCGCGGUAAUACGGAGGGUGCAAGCGUUACUCGGAAUCACUGGGCGUAAAGGACGCGUGGGCGGGUUGGAAAGUCAGGUGUGAGAUCCUACAGCUUAACUGUAGAACUGCACUUGAAACUUCUAAUCUAGAGUAUGGGAGGGGGAGAUGGAAUUAGUGGUGUAGGGGUAAAAUCCGUAGAUAUCACUAGGAAUACCUAAAGCGAAGGCGAUCUCCUGGAACAUUACUGACGCUAAGGCGUGAAAGCGUGGGGAGCAAACAGGAUUAGAUACCCCUGUAGUC
Molecule: ribosomal RNA, 439 nt
Filed under: uncultured bacterium
Lineage: Bacteria
Description: partial 16S ribosomal RNA
Rfam family: Bacterial small subunit ribosomal RNA
Source: RNAcentral